GACCUCAAAUCAGGUAAGGACACCCGCUGAACUUAAGCAUAUCAAUAAGCGGAGGAAAAGAAAAUAACAAUGAUUCCCCUAGUAACUGCGAGUGAAGAGGGACAAGCUCAAAUUUUAAAUCUAUCGGGUUUUACCUGAUCGAGUUGUAAUUUGAAGAUGGCGUUUUCUGUGUUUCUGAUCAGUCCAAGUCCUUUGGGAUAAGGCAUCAUGGAGGGUGAGAAUCCCGUUCGGUUGAUCAGAUUCGCUUUACGAUACGUUAUCAAAGAGUCAAGUUGUUUGGGAUUGCAGCUUAAAAUGGGAGGUAAAUUUCUCCUAAGGCUAAAUAACGGCGAGAGACCGAUAGCGAACAAGUACCGUGAGGGAAAGAUGAAAAGAACUUUGAAAAGAGAGUUAAACAGUACGUGAAAUUGUUGAAAGGGAAACGAUUGAAGCCAGUCGUACCUUCGGGUAAUCAGCCUUUCGGGUGCGAUUCUGUGGAGUUUGAGGAGCUUUAACACCUUCAUGCUUUGCAUAUUCGUGCUCUUGGGUGUACUUGCCCGUGUGGUUGGUUAACAUCAAUUUCGGGCACCAUAAAAUGGCUGGAGGAAUGUAGCUUCGAUCUUGUAUUGAAGUGUUAUAGCCUUCGGUAGAUGUGGUGAUCGAGAUUGAGGAUUGCAACGGAUACCUUUCGGGGCUACCUGUCUGAUCUCUGAUCGUUGCUUUGGUGCUGAAAGCGUGCUUAUAGUUAUCAAAGUCGAUGGUUAAUAGGUUAGAAUGGGUUAAAUUCGUUAAGGAUGUUGACGUAAUGGCUUUAAACGACCCGUCUUGAAACACGGACCA
Molecule: ribosomal RNA, 819 nt
Filed under: Rhizophagus irregularis
Lineage: Eukaryota; Fungi; Glomeromycota; Glomeromycetes; Glomerales; Glomeraceae
Description: eukaryotic LSU rRNA
Rfam family: Eukaryotic large subunit ribosomal RNA
Source: RNAcentral